GGAAAGUUUGAUUCUUUCUUAAAAUAUUUGUGAUCUUGCUGAAUUUGAAUGAAAGAUGUUACGAGUAAAUAAAAAUUAUCUUUUAAUAAGGUGGUUGUAAAAUAAAACAAGAAAAAUUCUAAUAAAAUAUAAAUCUCAGCAUAAAUUAUUAAACAAUUUAUUAGAGUAGGAUUUAGGAGCAAGAGUAAAACCCGGUAAAAAUUUGUGCCAGCAUCCGCGGUUAUACUUAAGGGUUGAAUAAAUAGAGGUUAUAAAGUCAGUUAAUAAUAUAAAUUUAUUUUUAUGAAUUGUAUGAAUAGUAAGUGAAAUUAGUUGUUCUUAUCAAUUAUUAUUAAAUUUUUGUUGAAGCUGAAUAAAUUUCGAUCUAAACCAGGAUUAGAUACCCUGUUAUACGAAAUAAUAAAACCUAUACGUUUAAUUAUUAAUAGUUAUAUUCUUAAAACUUAAAGAAUUUGGCGGUAAUUUAGUCCUGUCAGAGGAAUCUGUUUCUAAAUCGAUAAUCCGCGUUAAAUGUGACUCUUUUUAGUAAAGAUCAGCUUAUAUACCGUCAUCAUCAAAUAAUUUUUAAAAAAAAAAUUAUUGAAAUUUAAAUUAAUAUAAUAACAAAAAUUAGAUCAAGGUGUAGCCUAUAAAAGAGUUGAAAUGGAUUACAAUAAAAUUUAUUUAAUACGGAAUAGCUCAGGAAGAAGAGCUAAGAAGGUGGAUUUGAUUGUAUUUUGAAUUUAAAAUAUUGGAAAG
Molecule: ribosomal RNA, 738 nt
Filed under: Tetraloides nigrifrons
Lineage: Eukaryota; Metazoa; Arthropoda; Malacostraca; Decapoda; Tetraliidae
Description: 12S ribosomal RNA
Source: RNAcentral